AUGAAUAUUUUAAAGUAAUGUUUAAUAUUUGAGAAAAUCAUUUUGAGACGG
Molecule: non-coding RNA, 51 nt
Filed under: Plasmodium falciparum 3D7
Lineage: Eukaryota; Apicomplexa; Aconoidasida; Haemosporida; Plasmodiidae
Source: RNAcentral